Molecule: ribosomal RNA, 492 nt
Filed under: uncultured bacterium
Lineage: Bacteria
Description: partial 16S ribosomal RNA
Rfam family: Bacterial small subunit ribosomal RNA
Source: RNAcentral
AGUGAACGCUGGCGGUAGGCCUAACACAUGCAAGUCGAACGGCAGCACAGUAAGAGCUUGCUCUUACGGGUGGCGAGUGGCGGACGGGUGAGGAAUACAUCGGAAUCUACUUUUUCGUGGGGGACAACGUAGGGAAACUUACGCUAAUACCGCAUACGACCUACGGGUGAAAGCAGGGGAUCUUCGGACCUUGCGCGAUUGAAUGAGCCGAUGUCGGAUUAGCUAGUUGGCGGGGUAAAGGACCACCAAGGCGACGAUCCGUAGCUGGUCUGAGAGGAUGAUCAGCCACACUGGAACUGAGACACGGUCCAGACUCCUACGGGAGGCAGCAGUGGGGAAUAUUGGACAAUGGGCGCAAGCCUGAUCCAGCCAUACCGCGUGGGUGAAGAAGGCCUUCGGGUUGUAAAGCCCUUUUGUUGGGAAAGAAAAGCAGCAGGUUAAUACCCCGCUGUUCUGACGGUACCCAAAGAAUAAGCACCGGCUAACUUCGUG